This 21-nucleotide ribosomal RNA is filed under the name Amanita sp. 'cochiseana'. RNAcentral's name for it is "partial 28S ribosomal RNA". Lineage: Eukaryota; Fungi; Basidiomycota; Agaricomycetes; Agaricales; Amanitaceae. The record is from RNAcentral.
UUGACCUCAAAUCAAGCAAGA